This is a non-coding RNA of Calidris pugnax (ruff), 451 nucleotides long. The record is from the annotation of a RefSeq genome assembly. NCBI's taxonomy places the organism in Eukaryota, Metazoa, Chordata, Aves, Charadriiformes, Scolopacidae.
CCAGUGGCUGCAGGCAGAGCCCAGGUGCAGCAGGAGCCAUCAGCAGAGACCACGGAGGGCACCACCAUCAGCAUCAACUGCUCUCACCCCAACAAAAAGACCACGGAUUUCAUCUGCUGGUACCGUCGGCUCCCGGGCCGAGGACCCACAUUCCUCGUGAGCAGUUUCAAAGACGCCAAAGAUCUGCGGUCCCCGCCGGGGCAGCUGCGGGUGGCGGCAGACGGCCGGUCCAGCGCCCUGCGGCUCGACCGGCCCCGGCGCGGGGACGCGGCGGUGUAUUACUGCGCCCUGGGAGACACGGGGAGAGGAGCCGGGGCUGCGGCCGGGCAGGAACCGCGGCGGGCGGGGCCGGGCGUGUGUGUCGGGGCCGGGGGGACAGCCCCGGGCGUUCUGGCCCUGCACGGCUCCAGCAGCCAGACAGGGACUUUCAGGCUGGCUGAGUACAGGAUGA